UAGUGCUCACUUCAGCACUAAGAUACUAAGAUACAGAGAAGAUUAGCAUGGCCCCUGCACAAGGAUGACAUGCAAAUUCGUGAAGCGUUCCAUAUUUUU
RNAcentral lists this small nuclear RNA (99 nucleotides) under Meriones unguiculatus (Mongolian gerbil). The record is from RNAcentral. Lineage: Eukaryota; Metazoa; Chordata; Mammalia; Rodentia; Muridae.